RNAcentral lists this long non-coding RNA (11756 nucleotides) under Vigna radiata. Its description in RNAcentral is "long non-coding RNA (VRAD_LNC000215)". Lineage: Eukaryota; Viridiplantae; Streptophyta; Magnoliopsida; Fabales; Fabaceae. The record is from RNAcentral.
UGACUGUGAAGCAGAAGUUGUAUAUUAAUUGGGUUUUGGUUUGAGAAUUAAACACACAAAAACUGAGAUGGCUAGAACCACUCUUUCUUCCCUGUCUUUAUUUUUCUGUAUUCUCCUCAUAAUUACCUUCAGUUUCUUCGUGCAACCAAUUCCAGUAAGAACAGGUUUGUCUCUGUUACUGAAUCAUCCAAAACGUAAAUUAAAGAGGAGAUUUAUAAAUAGAUUUUGUAAGAUUAAAUUAGUUUUUAAAUUUAUUUGGAAUCAUUUUGUAAAAGUAAGAUUUCUGAAAACUGUUAUGAUAUGAAUUUGCAGAACUGAAAAUAAGGGGUCCCAAGCCAAGACCACCUCCUUCACCCACGCCUAACUGGCGCCCAGUUCCUGGUCAUCCUCCAUCCAACCAUGGCUGAAAUAUUACCACAAAUCGUAAGGGCUUCAAGUUUUCUUCGAUUCUCAUUUUUGUUAUCAACUUUUACUGUAUUAGGUUUUAUGUUAUAAAUAACACUGUGUAAGACCACGAAAGGAUUUACCCGUCCAUGUUAUAGAAUAUUAUAGAUUAUAAGGAAAUUAAAACCUUUUUAUUAUUGAUUUUAUUUUUACUGGGAUUUUAGCAAUCGAUUACCAAAAGUAUGGUUAGGAAUUGGAUAAUUAUUCAUAAUAAUUUUGUGCAUUAAUUCCUUCAGUGAUUGAAAUAAUUAUUAAAUAUGAGCACGUAUUUACUUUUUACGUUAAUAAAAGCUUAAAAAUAUAAGAUUAAGGGAAAAUAUCAUCAGACAAAGUUAAUAAAACAAGAAACAAAACAUAUAGGCGAAAGUAAUCCAAAAAGUUAAAGCCGAUGAUAGUGUUUAGGGAACAACUAAAGUAGAUUUCGACCCAAAUAUGCCCAAUGGAAUGCAAAAUAAACUUUAUACGUAGACUGGCUCAUUACAUAUAAAUGUAUUUGUUGAAAAAUAAAUUUUUACGAGAAAUGCAUUUAAAUAAGACAAAUAAAUAAAUAAAAUAUAUUUUUACUCUAAUUAUUUUUAGUUUAUUUUGGUUCACUGCUUCUGUCUUAAUUAGGAAAGUUGUUAAAAUUUCUUUUUAUUGAAAAAAAUUAUUUACAAAAAAUAGACUGGUUCACUAGUCAGUCAUGAAAUGAUGCUUCCACUAAAAUUAAAAUUGAUAAUCUCAGAAUUAGCUAUGCCAUUUUUUUUAUAAAUUUGAAAACAUAUUAUUAAUUAAAAUUAAGAACUUAAAGUAAAAAUGGAAAAUAUUUUGAAACUAUCAAUUUAUUUGUUCUUAAUUUAACAUUUAAAUAUUUACUUCUUAUUAAGAUUUUUCACCCUCCAUUUGAUUUAAUUUAAUGGACAAAGAUUAAUUUCUAAUUAGAUACUUAAAUUAAAUUAAAAGAAAACUACAAAUAAAGAUGGAAAGUAAGUUUUUUAAGUUGCUCUGAAAAUAGUUUCAUCUUUUCUCUUUUCUAUAUGUAACUCUACUUUUAAUGAUAAUUGUAAUAUCCCAAAAUAUGUGUAUAAUUCAUAUCAAGUGGAAUGCAACAUAUUAUAAUAACAGAAAGCAAUUAAGAGUAGUAGCAGAUGAAGUGUAUAUAAUACAGUCAUCCAAAAUAUGAUAUAAGCUCUACAUAUCAGCAUAGAGUCUUUCAAAAGGGAAAAGAGUAAAGAAGACUAAGUUAUACACAAACAAAAGAACUGAGCUACACUACUCUGCAGCAUCAGCAGUAUCAGGAACAUCUGGAACGUCUAGUAGCUGCUCCAGUGGGGCCUCUGAAACUUCUGCUCACAUCCAAUUAGGAUGAUCAUUGCAAAAGAAAACAAGCACAAACAAGACAUACAUCAAACAAAGCAAGGGUAAGCUAGAAUUCAAAAGAAUACAAAUCAAUUUAAAUUAAACAAGGUAAAAGAGACAUACAAGCAAUUGCAAUCAUAGAAGGACAACUUUAAUAGAUUAUGAGUUAUAGUUUUUUUAGGUAGCGUUAGACUUAGACUCGUCCGGACCCGGAAUAAAUAUCGAGCUAUGGCGAGUUAUGCACUUGUGGUGGCCUCUACUGCUUUGCAAAGCCAUUGCCAAUGGGUUUCACCCUACCACACACAAGGUUAGUCCGUUAUCACUCACCUUGGCCCAUAUACAAUGGAGACAACCAAGACUAGGACCCCCUACUGCUCUUCACUACAUGAACUAAUCUUCUCUAAGUGAGAUUGAAUAGUCAUUAGAGCUUUAAGGGAAACCCCCAAGACUGAGCUACCUAUAUUCAUUCCAGAAACUUAACUUAAUAUCACUCAUUCUUGGCCCAUAUAAAAUAGAGACACCCAAGACUGAGCUUCCUAUAUUCAUUCUCAAACUUAAUAUAAUCUCACCGCGAGAUACUACUUAAAUCAUUAUAUCAUAUUACACCACAUGGAACACAAUCAUUCUUUAGUUAUGUCACAAAAACAACUUAUACAUACUCAGACAUUAUAUAUUUUCACAAAACAUCACUUAUUAACACAAUUAUCUUUAUAAUCUUUAAUUACCCAUACUUAAGUAAUUCAAAUAGCUUGGAGACCCUCACCAAUGGCUCCGGAAGAGUCAAAACCCCCCAGAUUGACCUAAAGAACGUCCAGAAAUGAUACCCGGAACCACUAGAACCACUCAAAACUGUCCUGGAUGAUUUCCUGACAACAAUAAUCGAUUAUUGCAUAUAAUAAUCGAUUAUUACAUAUGAUAAUCGAUUAUUACACAUGAUAAUCGAUUAUUUAAGUGAACUUUGAAGAAAAUAUGAUGUUCUGACUAGAAUAAUCGAUUAUCAAGUGAGAUAAUCGAUUAUUCUUAUCAGUAUUUGACAACAACCUUAUUUUAGUGCAUCUNAGACACUUUGAUGAGUUUCAAACAAUCCUAGAUUGAUUUAUAUGAUGAUUUGAACUUGUCUAGAUGAUUAUAGCUAUUCUUAAUCUCAUUCUUUAAUGGUUAGGCAUUGAUUCAUACUCAAAAACUUAGAUUUCAACAACUUAAAGACUCACUCUCAUACCUAACACUUAGAAACUGUUUUGGACCAGUUUAGGGACUCUAACAGGUCCCAAUUUACUUACCUAGACCAUCCCAAUUGACCAAUUUAGCUCCCAACCCCAAUUGUCCAAUUUGACUACCUCACUUCCCUUAGACUAACCUAAAACACCAUAACCAACUUAUCUUUUUGUUUAAUAACUUGUAUAAUAUCAAUCAUAACACUUGAAUACUAAAUUUCAUCAUCACAUAUUACCCAUACCAGUUCCUAAUCAUCCUUUCACAGAUUCACAGUCUCAUAAGUCACACAUUUAUAGGCACAUACUCAACAUACAAUUUCAUCAAAUAUCAAUUCAAACAGGAACACCUUUCAUCUAACAUUUCACACAUGAAUCAUUCAUAAACAUCACUAAAUCUAAUUCAAUGCAUACAAUUAUUUCACAAUUACAAACCAAAAUCCUUGCUUCCCUUACCUCUGUUUCACAGCAUAGUAUGACAGAACCUUGCCCGCUCUCUUGCACCCCAAGAAAAUACUAGGAUUACCUAUAGAUCAUAAAUUGAAGAUGGAAAACAAUUUCUUAAUUUUCAAUUGAGCUAAGAAAUUUGAAGAAGAGAACUGUUAAACACAUGCAAGCAAAACUGUUGCAUGAUCACAGUCCAGAAAAUACAGGGAAAAUAGGGAAAACGCUUACCGGAGGAAAAACACCGAAUUGAUCGGUUGAAUUCGAAGCCUAUAACUCCAGGACUGCUUAGGUGCUUCCAGAUUGUUGAACAAUUGACUUAGUGAGAAAAAAUCCUAGAGAGAUUAGAGAGAGAAUGAAAGGGUUAUGUUUCUAGAGAGAAGAAGAAGAGCACGUUUGAAGAGAAGUAGUGUUCUAUCUGAUAAUGGGUUGAACUUAGAAAGUUUUAAGUUAAAAUUGUUUCACUAAUAAUGACUCAGCCCAUUGUGUUGCCACGAGUCCAACCCCAACUGCUCUCUUUUUCUCAGACUUUACAAUAAUACUUUUUAUAAUGUUUCCUUCAUAAAAAUAUUUUAUAUGAUAUUAUUUCUAUAAUUUCUUACGUUCAAAGUCUCACACAAUUUAGAGUUUAGAUAAAUAGUAAUUUAAAUAUAUUUUAUUUUUUUAAUUUUUGAGGUGUUUAACGAAAGUGUAAUAGAACUUCAAUUUACAAAAUCAACAAUAUUUAUAACGAUGUUAUCUCAAUGAAUUUCGAGAUUCAAAAGUCGAAUACUUAUUAAAAAAAUGAAUGAAAAAAAUUAUUCUAAGACGAAAUUUUGUAUAUUGCUUAGAAUGAUUAAGAGUUUAUAUACACAUAGAUACUUUUAAUGGUGACUUUUUGAAGUGGUACCAAUUAUAAAUAAUUCAUAUUGUAGUAUGAUUAUGCAAAAAUUGAAAACUAGUCAAUUUUUUUCUGUUGAUUUUUCCUACGAAAACGUGUUCCCUUUUUAAUUUUUCUGUAGGAAAUUUCAUCGAAAGCUCAAAGAGAAGCAAAAUUUUGGAUUGGUAACUAUGAAACAGAAGUCAUAUAUUAAAUGGGUUUAGGUUUCUAGAUUGAACACACAUAAAUCGAGGAUGGCCAGAAUCACUAUUUCUUUUAUGUCUUUGUCUUUCAUUAUUCUCCUCAUAACCACCUUCACUUUGUUCAUCCAACCAGUUCCAGUUAAAGCAGGAUUAUCUCCAUCAUUAAAUCAUCCAAUCUACUUGUGUUUUUUAUAUUAUUAUAUUAUCAUUCUCUAAAUAGUAUCAAUAUUCAUUUAAAAAAAGAAUCGUGUUGACUCUUUUUAAUAAAAAAUGAAAACUAUAUUGAAAUGAGAAAAAAAAAAUUCAAACACUACAUUAAAUAAUUUUAACGAAAAUUAGGAUAAAAGAGACCAUUAAAGCAAUAUGAUGAAAAUCUCAUCUCUCAUUAGGCAUCCUAUGUGAUUAUUAUUUUAUAUUAAUUCUUUUUUUUCAAUUAAAAAACUCAUAAUAAUUAUAAGGAUAAUGAUAUUUAGAUAAUAUUUUUUUGACAAUAUUUAAACAUUGAUUACGUGUCAAUCUGUGAUUGGUCAAAAAUUACUCCACAAUCAAUAAUAAUAAUCAUAAACAUUACAUUAUUGUGGAGUAAUUUAAAUCAUAAAUAUUAUUGUGGAGUAAUUUUUGACCAAUCACAGAUUGACAUAUAAUCCAUGUUCAAAUGUUGUCUAAAUAUCAUUAUCCUAGUUAUAAAUGUAUAAUAAUUAAAUUUGAUUGAAAUAUAUGUGUAUAUUAUUGAGAUGAUGAAAGUUGUUUAAAUUUGUAGAUUUGAAGAUGAGAAAGUUGGGUGUUCAAUCAAGCCCACCUCCUCCACCCAGUUUAGGCUCACAAACACAUGUUAGACGACGAGUUAUUCCUUCACCUCCACCUCCGAUUUCCAUGGCAUAAGAUCUUCCAUUAUUAAUCAUCUAUGCUCCUUCAUCUACUUUCUUUCUAUCAUUUCUUUCACUGCUUUAUUUUAUACACUAUCCACUUUAAUGUAUAAUAUAAAUAACAUUAUUAUGUCAAAGUUUCAUUCCAACGUUCAAAAGAGGAAACACACUAUUUAGUUUAUACUUUUCCUACCUUUGAUAAAUUGUACUUCCUCCUCCUUCAAAUAAAACAAUAAUUAUUUAAUUUGAAAAUGCUCAAUAUUAUUUAAUUUUAUUAUAAGGUUUAUUCUCGAUCAUCUCCAUCGAAUAAUAAGUAUACAUGUUGUUCAUACAUGUCUCCAUCGAAUACUAAGUAUACAUGUUGUUGUUCAUACAUGUCUGCUUGAAUAUUAAUUAAUUAAUUAAUUUUUUACAAAAAUAACAAACAUAACAAAUAAAACAUAAUAUUAUCUUAUAUUUAAUAUAAAAAACUGUAUUAUCAUUUUUUUAAUAUCAAAUAUUUUUUUAAAAAAAUUAUAAAUGUAUAAAUUUCAAAUUAAAAUAUCAAAUAACAAUUAGAUAAAAAUGAAAUAAUUAUAAAAUAUUACACAUUAAUAAAAUUUUAUUACCAUCAAAAUAAUUGUUAAUUCUGCUAAUAUUAAUAAAAUAAAGUGUUGAGGUUAAAAAAUAAUUUUGAAAAAUUAUAAAAAAAAAUUCAAGUUUUAAAGUGCUUCAAAUAUUUCUUUUUAAAUUCUAAUAAAAUGUCUAUAUUUUUAUACACUAAUAAAGAAAUUAACAUUUACCUAUCUCAUUAAUAUAUUAUCUGAAUAUUCUCUAUAUGAUUUUUAUUAUGCAAUGAAUAUUAUAUCAAAAGUUAAUCUAAAUUAACUCUUUACAUCAUGAAAUGUUGAGGUUCUAUUUAAACAAAUGAUUUUUCAAACUAUAUAUCAAAAUAUAAUUUUUUUUCCUUGAGUUUGUUUCAACUAAUCAUUUUAAUGAUAUUGUUUAGGGAUAUUGGAUUGUUAUGAUCCAAAACAAAUUUAGGAAAUGUAAAAAGUAUAGGAUGAAGUCAGAAGACAGCUAUUCUAUUUUUUUGGGACAUCGUGUCUUAUGUCUACUAGAAUAUUUAUAUGAUAAUUAAUGAAACAUAUAUUUACUUUUAUGAGAAGUGUUCAGAUGUAAAGAUUGUGACUCUAGGGAUGUUUAAUUAGUUCAAUCCUUCACUUCUUUUUUCUUUUUUCUUUUUUCUUGUAUAAGAGUUGAAACAUCCCAAGAACUUUAUUUAAUAUAAUUCUUCACUUAUAAAAAAAUCAUUGAUAGCAAAAUAAUGACAAAAUGUUUUAAUUUUUUUUAAAUAUUAAUAAAUUAUGGUGAUCAAAUAACUAAAACUAAGAAAAGAAGAAGAAAAAGGUCCUAGUUAUUAAACUACUAUAAUAAAAUAAAUGUUACAAAUUAAAACGUAAAGAAUUUGAAGAUGCACUGUUGAUGCCUUUCCGCAGAGCAGAUUUUUAAAUUUGAAUUAAACUGGAAUUAACAUAAUUGGACCCUUUAAACGGUUGAAUUCAUAACACCGUUGUCAAAGAUUGGUAUCUUCAUGGAAAAACCAAUAGCAACUAAUUCAUAUAUUUUAACGUUACGACUACGCAAUUUUUCUCAUUUGAUUAUUGACUUCUGAAACUAAUAUUAAGAGCUCUGAUUUUCCUUAUCUUCAUCGAUCCUGCUUUUCACUUGAAAAAAUUCUUAAAGUCAUCCCUGUUACAUUUUCUCAAUCAAUUUUAAGUACAAAAUCAAAGAAAAAAAAAUUAGGGUUUUCUAUAAAUUUCUCUGAAUUUCUGAAUCUGAAGCAACAUGUGGAAUAAUAUAAAGUUUCACCGUUGUGAGAGAUGGCUAACAUCUUCAGUCUCUCAUCAAUCUUUGCACGUUUGCUUCUGUUAACGAUAGCCUUUGCUUUGUUUAUGCAGUUGAGUGUUGGUUCAGGUUAGUCUUCGUCGUGAAUCAUGAAAAUGCAUAGAAGAAUAUCAUCACGAUCACUUCCCCCACCUAUAUGCUGUUCAUUUUUUUGGACAAAUUUCCGUAUCAUAAAAACGUAGGAUUUUGAUCAUUCUGGAUAAACGUUUUGAACCGUUGACAUCAUCUUGUUGUUUUAAUUUGCAGAUCUGAAUAUGAGGAAACUGGGUGUAUUGCCAUCACCACCUCCGCCACCACGUCGAAACUCAGCACCAGGGCCUGCAAGAUAAAUUAGGGCUACCAUGACCAAGAAAAUUUUCAUGUUAUUCUUGUUCCAUAAAUAAAUAUUCCCUUAUUUUAGAUAUAAUUGCAAGAUAUAUAUUUUAUUUAUAUUUUCGACUUAAUAAAAGAUAUAUAUAAUUAUCUUCUUUAGCGUGACGAGAGAAAAUAAUUCCAUAUGAAAAAUUUUCCUUUCUGAUCCCAUGAUUCUCUUUAUGUGAUUGUUUAGGAUAACUAAUGGAUCUACUCACAAGUCUAAAGGCAAUUUUUUCUUCUCUAUUGUGGCAAAUAAAUCUACCAACAGUAUAUUUGAACAAGUUUCCAUCAACUGAACCUUCGUACUUACCAUUUUUAAUUUCACGUUUACCUCAGUUGAAGUUUCUGUAGAAUUACACUAGUCCAACAUAUUAAAUUUCUUUAGUACCUUUGAAAUGUACUUCUUAUUGUGCAUAACAAUUCCCUUUUAAAGAAACUACAAUCCUAAAAAAUAUGAUAGGAUUCUAAAAUUUGUCAUUUCAAAUUCUUUCUUAAAACUUUGUUUCAAGAAAAAAAAAAUUAUCUAUGAAGUUUUAUCAACAAAAAUAAAUUGGUUGGUAAAUUUAAGUCAACGAUAAAUUUUUAAAAUUUUAAUUAUUGAUGAAUUUAUUUCAUUGAUAUAUUAUAUAUUUUAUUUAUUAAAGAUUUUUCUGUUGAUAAAUUAAAUUUGUCUUACUUAUUUUAUUGGUAAAAUUCAUCCAUAAAAAAAAUAAAAAAGCUUUUGCCCAUCUUUUCUCUCUUUUUCUGCGAGCCACUCGUUAUCCAAUCAUAAUUAUCCAAUUUCUAACCAUACUUUUGGUAAUUGAUUGCUAAAAUCCCACUAAAAGUAAAAUCAAUAAUAAAAAGAUUUUAAUUUCCUUAUAAUCUAUAAUUGUCCAUCCACCCAGUGUAAAUCUUUUCUUGGUAAUACACAUUGUUAUUUAUAACAUAAAAUCCAAUACAGUAAAAGUUGAUAAAGAAAAUGAGAAGAAAAGAAAACUUGAAGCCCUUAUGAUUGUUGUAAUGUUUCUGGAAUUCCUAUGUUCCAGGAAUUAUUUACGUGUGUAUUGGAUCGCCAAGAUUGGGUGUAGGAGGUGGACUUGCCAUGGGACCCCUAGCUGCAAAUUCAUAUCAUCACAAUUUUUAGAAAACAUAUUUUACACAUUCAAUAUGAUAUUAUACUAUUAAAAAAUAAAAUUAAAAUUUAAUUUAAUCUUAUAAAAUCAAUAUUUAAUUUUAUUUAUAUUAUAAGAAUUGUCUAUACUUAUUAUUCAAAUAUUUUUUGUAAAGUUUUAGAUGAUUGAACGAGAGAGACAAACCUGCUCUUACUGGAAUUGGUUGGAUGAAGAAAGUGAAGGUGAUUAUGAGGAGAAUACAGAAAGAUAAAGACAGAGAAGAAAGAGUGGUCCGAGCCAUCCCAAGUUUGUGUGUUCAAUGCUGAAACCCAAACUCCAUUAAUAUACAACUUCUCCUUCAGAGUCACCAAACCUAAAUUUUCCUUCUUUUCGAGCUUUCGGUGAAACUUUCCAUAGAAAAAUAGGUCAAUAAAGAUAAUAAAAUACACACCAAACCUCAUUGAUGCCGGUCUCAUGCCACCAGCUGGUCAUACGCUUGUGACUGGCUGAUCAUAUAUAAUUUAUUAUUAUUAUCUUAAUUUAUGAAAAAUCAUAAAAUUAUGUAACUUUUACUCCUUCAUAAUGAAUUUCAUUCAUUAUUUUAUACAUUUUAAUUAAAUUUAACUAAUUAUUAAAAUUCAUUAAUUAAAUAUGUGGAAUUUUCAAAGAUCUGAAGUACGAUUUCGUUCUAUAAAAUUGGCUUAAUUCUAAGAUUAGUCUCUAAAUUUUAUAAAAUUUUCAAUUUCAAUCUCUAAUGUUUCUCUCUAGUCCAUUAUGUUUUAAUUACCUUUGGCUCAUGAAAUUAUUUUAUGCAAUUUUGAUCUUCAAUGUUUAUUUAUCUAGAAAUUUAUUUAACUUUAAUUUUAAAAAUGUUACCCUCCCCAAUUUUGCAAUUUUUAUCGUCUUCAGUCCAGUAAAAGAAGUUACAAAUAAAAGAAACCAAUAUUAUAAAUAAUUAAAGAAUUAAAAUUGUGAAAAAAGAAUUAGAAAAAGAAAACCUUGUAAAAUCUAAGGAAAGGAAUACAGUUAAGCUUAUAAAAUUAAAAGGCACUCGUAAUUAAACAAAUGAAUAUAAAUGGUAGAAAACGCAAUAAAACAUAACUUAUAAAAUAUGGGCAAUUAUAUUUUAACAAAAAAAUAAAAAUAAAAAUUUAUUCUUAAAUUGAUUAAUCAUAUGAAAUUUUAUUUAAGCCUAUAUUGAGCGAUCUAAAAGAAAUAUGAAUAUUUAAGGGAUUUAAUCCCAAUUAGCAUCGAGUUUCGAAUGAACUUUUUUAUAAUAUAUACUGUUUACUUUUCUUAUAGUCAAUACUUGAGAGUAAUAUUAACAUUCUGACUUACACAUUCUUCAAGUAGCAAACAUUUCUCUUCCACAAAGACAGCUACAUAUUUUAUCUGAUAUUACCACGAAGUUUCCUUUUAUAAUAGCUUUAUCUGGUUCGUCAUUUUAGACAAUUCUUCAAUUGGAAGCGGUCAAAUUAACAUAUUCGUUUUUUUAAGUAAAAUCUAAUUAGAAUUUUACAAGUGAUUAGAUAAUGAAAAAAAUAAUAUUACUAGUGAUUAGCUUUAGAUUCUUAAAAAAAAAUUGAUAAAUAGUUCAUAUUGUAAUAUGAUGAUGCAAAAGUUAAAAACAAAAACUAGUUAUUUUUUCUGUUCAUUUCUGCUAGCAAAACGCGUCCCUUUAUUAUCAUUAUUGACCAAGUUUUCUAUUGGAAAUUUCGUUGAAAAAGUUGAAAGAAAAGCAAAAUUUAGGUUUGGUGACUGUGAAGCAGAAGUUGUAUAUUAAUCAGGUUUGGGUUUGAGCAUUGAACACAGACAAACUGGGGAUGGCCAGGACUACUCUUUCUUCUCUGUCUUUAUCUCUCUGUAUUCUUCUCAUGAUCACCUUCACUUUGUUCGUGCAAUCAACUCCAGUAAGAGCAGGUUUGUCUCUGUCAUUCAAUCAUCUCAUUUUUUGCCAAAAGAAAAUAUAUAAUGAUUAUCAAUUUGAAUUUCAACCACACAUAAUUUAAUGGUUUAAUUGUUUCUUUUGUCCCCAAUUUGGUUGAAGUGUGUCAAAUUCGUCUCUCUUUUAGAAAAAUGUCAAUUUCUUCCCCAUAUAGAAAAAAAUUGUGUCAAUUAAGUCAUCUCCAUUAAAUACAAACUAAUGGUGUUAAAAACUUAAAGUGAGUUUUGAAUAAUAACCACUUCAUGGGUCUGAUCCCUGAUAUUGCAGUGGAUAAAGUGAGUUUUGAAAGCAAUGAUUUUUAACGGAGAUGACUUGAUUGGCACAAAUUUUUUCUAUAUAAGGACGAAAUUGACAUUUUUCUAAAAAAGGGACGAAUUUGACGCACUUCAACCAAACUGGGGAAAAAAAAGCAAUUAAACCUAAUUUAAAUGUAUAUUGUGAAAUAAAAUAAUUGAAAUGUAGUAAUUAAAUUUGGUUGGACAUAUGUAUGUUGAUGAUGAGAAAUUGUUUAAAUUUAUAGAUUUGAAGAUGAGAAAGUUGGGUGUUCAACCAAAGGCACCUCCUGCACCCUCGCAGGCAGUCCAAUUCAAACCACCUAUUGUGAAACCUCCUAUUUUGAAACCUUCACCUCCACCUCCACCUCCAAUUUACAUGGGAUGAUCUUUCAUUAUUAAUCAUUUGUGCUCCUUCAUCUACUUUCUUUCUCAUCAUUUCCUUCACAUGUAUGAUAUAAAUAAUAUUAUUAUGUCAAAGUUUGAUUCCAAAACAUGUAUGUGCAAGUUAGAUUCAAAGUAGGAAAGACACUGUAUAUUUAUUCUAUAUAUACUUUUGUAACAAUAAGUUGUUGUAAUUCCUCUUCGUUCUCUUAGAAUAAACAAAAACAGUGCAGUUUUCAGUUACAUUCAGUUUAUGUUUCUUGUAUAUAAAACGUUGUAAUCACAUACUUUAAAAGUAAUGAAAUUUUGAGAGGUUAUUCAGUACCUUGUGUGCCUUCAUAACUCUUCGUUGCAUUCUCUGGUUGCUCCGGUGUGUGGCUCUGAUUGUGUCCGGUGGAGGAAGAGGGAAACCUUAGCAGAGUGUCUUACUCUGCCCUCUCUCUAAAACUCUCGUC